UACAGAGGUCCCGAGCGUUGUUCGGAUUCACUGGGCGUAAAGCGCACGCAGGCGGUUCGAUUAGUCAGAAGUGAAAGCCCCGGGCUCAACCUGGGAACUGCUUUUGAUACUGUCGAGCUUGAAUCACGGAGAGGGUAGUGGAAUUCCGAGUGUAGAGGUGAAAUUCGUAGAUAUUCGGAAGAACACCAGUGGCGAAGGCGACUACCUGGCCGUCGAUUGACGCUCAUGUGCGAAAGCGUGGGGAGCAAACAGGG
RNAcentral lists this ribosomal RNA (254 nucleotides) under uncultured bacterium. RNAcentral describes it as "partial 16S ribosomal RNA". It matches the Rfam family "Bacterial small subunit ribosomal RNA", at positions 524 to 777 of the family's 1533-position model. The record is from RNAcentral.